Molecule: ribosomal RNA, 501 nt
Filed under: uncultured bacterium
Lineage: Bacteria
Description: partial 16S ribosomal RNA
Rfam family: Bacterial small subunit ribosomal RNA
Source: RNAcentral
GAUGAACGCUAGCGGCAGGCUUAAUACAUGCAAGUCGAGGGGCAGCACAGAUAGCAAUAUUGGGUGGCGACCGGCAAACGGGUGCGGAACACGUACACAACCUUCCUUUUAGAGUGGGAUAGCCCAGAGAAAUUUGGAUUAAUACCACAUAGUAUAUUUGAGUGGCAUCACUUUGCUAUUAAAGAUUUAUAGCUAAAAGAUGGGUGUGCGUAUGAUUAGGUAGUUGGUAGAGGUAACGGCUCACCAAGCCUUCGAUCAUUAACUGGUGGGAGAGCACGACCAGUAAAACGGGCACUGAGACACGGGCCCGACUCCUACGGGAGGCAGCAGUAAGGAAUAUUGGUCAAUGGACGGAAGUCUGAACCAGCCAUGCCGCGUGAAGGAUGACGGCCCUCUGGGUUGUAAACUUCUUUUAUGUGGGACGAAAAAGGGCCAUUUUUGGUCAACUGACGGUACCAUAGGAAUAAGCACCGGCUAACUCCGUGCCAGCAGCCGCAGUAA